Molecule: ribosomal RNA, 253 nt
Filed under: uncultured bacterium
Lineage: Bacteria
Description: partial 16S ribosomal RNA
Rfam family: Bacterial small subunit ribosomal RNA
Source: RNAcentral
UACGGAGGGGGCUAGCGUUGUUCGGAAUUACUGGGCGUAAAGCGCGCGAAGGCGGUUUCUCAAGUCAGGCGUGAAAGCCCGGGGCUCAACUCGGGGAUUGCGUUUGAAACUGGAUGGCUAGAAGGUGGUAGAGGGGAGUGGAAUUCCGAGUGGAGAGGUGAAAUGCGUAGAUAUUCGGAGGAACACCAGUGGCGAAGGCGGCUCACUGGGCCGUUUUUGACGCUAAGGCGCGAAAGCGUGGGUAGCGAACGGG